CCUACGGGAGGCAGCAGUGGGGAAUAUUGCACAAUGGGGGGAACCCUGAUGCAGCGACGCCGCGUGGGUGAGGAAGUACUUCGGUAUGUAAAGCCCUAUCAGCAGGGAAGAAAAUGACGGUACCUGACUAAGAAGCCCCGGCUAACUACGUGCCAGCAGCCGCGGUAAUACGUAGGGGGCAAGCGUUAUCCGGAUUUACUGGGUGUAAAGGGAGCGUAGACGGCGUGGCAAGUCUGAUGUGAAAGGCCGGGGCUCAACCCCGGGACUGCAUUGGAAACUGGGAUGCUGGAGUGCUGGAGGGGCAAGCGGAAUUCCUAGUGGAGCGGUGAAAUGCGUAGAUAUUAGGAAGAACACCAGUGGCGAAGGCGGCUUGCUGGACGGUAACUGACGUUGAGGCUCGAAAGCGUGGGGAGCAAACAGGAUUAGAUACCCCUGUAGUC
Molecule: ribosomal RNA, 440 nt
Filed under: uncultured bacterium
Lineage: Bacteria
Description: partial 16S ribosomal RNA
Rfam family: Bacterial small subunit ribosomal RNA
Source: RNAcentral